GGAUCACACACACGUCUACACAGCCUCUCCAUCCGGAGUCUGGGAGGAAAAGCGCUUUGUUGGCCGAGAGCGCGCAGGGGCCUGGGCUCUCCUCUGGCUUCCCUCCUCUGGUCCACCGCUGGGUUGGAGAACCCCUUCUUCUGUUGGGAGGGAGGUGUGGACGCGCACGACUUGUGUAUGGACAAGUGCAAAGCUGGAGGAGUGAGGAAACUUUAAUCCUACGGAGGCCGGAGCUCGCAGGUCUGCUCUUCCGCCAAGGGAUGAGCCAGGAUUCCCUGCAGAAGGAGCUGAGCCCUCUCCGGCCGGAGACCACUCCGCUGGCGGAAGCUUGGUUCCCUAAUUCCUUUCACCAGGUGCAGCCCUGACUCUCUGAGCUCCACCCUCCCCUGCCCCAGUGUUUGCCCGCAGCCCCAACCGCAGGAAAUGCUCCCUUUCUCCAUGUGCCAGUGCUGAGGCUGGUGUGGGAGUAGAGGGCCUGUGUUUUCUGGAAGAGCCUUUCCUCAGCUCUGGUCACCUCCAGUCCCUGUGGAAUAAGCUGCUAUGUGGUUUAAAGAAAGGUGUCCACAUCCGCAGCCUCAGUGCUCUGCUAUUUCAAAUGGCCACCUCUUCAAAGCCAGUCCUCGGAUAGAAUCUGAGUCUGCAUGACUUGGGGCAUCAGCAUGGCCUUGGGGACACUGCUGUAACCUGAAUUCCAUGCGGGGAGCUGAUUUACUAGGGAUUCCGAUGGAUGAUCUCUGUUGGCUGGCACCCCAACUUUUCACUCAAGCACCACGAGACUGGAGGGUGAAGGUGACCAGGACUCAGAGCUGGAGGCUUCUGUACAGAACCUGCAUGACAACCCUUCAAGCUAUGGAGUCCUGACUAUGUUCUGGACACUCUUAGAAAAGCAUGAAGGAGGCUGCCCGUGAGUGGGUGAGGGCAGGCUUGUGGAAACACGCUGAAGGAAGAUUCAGCAGGGCCUGUCUGUGCAGGCAGAGCAGGCUCCCCAGGAAGGUCGGGAGGGCUGGCUGGACGCCUGGACCCACUGUACUCCUGACAAGCCUGACAAGAUGUGAGAUGCUCCGUCCAGGCCGCAAGGCUCACACAACUUCCAGCCUGUAGGGCAGAGAAGCUGCUGAUGCACCCAGCCUGGGGCAGAGACCCAGACCUUGCAGUCAGCUAGGCUGAGCUGUGGCCCAGGGACCGGGAAGGUGUGGCUUCCUGGCUGUCCCGGCCCGCCUGGCCCGCCCGUCCAUCCAGAGGUAGCUUCUAGCGCCCAGCUGGCGGUGAAUCCCACCAGCAUUUGCUGAUAAAUAUGAUUUAGGC
RNAcentral lists this long non-coding RNA (1305 nucleotides) under Sus scrofa (pig). RNAcentral describes it as "lncRNA (ENSSSCG00030073414.1, ENSSSCG00040034521.1, ENSSSCG00050025610.1, ENSSSCG00060058743.1)". Lineage: Eukaryota; Metazoa; Chordata; Mammalia; Artiodactyla; Suidae. The record is from RNAcentral.